Molecule: ribosomal RNA, 253 nt
Filed under: uncultured bacterium
Lineage: Bacteria
Description: partial 16S ribosomal RNA
Rfam family: Bacterial small subunit ribosomal RNA
Source: RNAcentral
UACGUAGGGGGCAAGCGUUGUUCGGAAUCAUUGGGCGUAAAGGGCGCGUAGGCGGCCAUGCGUGUCUUUCGUGAAAUCCCUCGGCUUAACUGAGGACGUGCGGAAGAAACUGCAAGGCUUGAGUCCGGGAGAGGGGGGUGGAAUUCCCAGUGUAGCGGUGAAAUGCGUAGAUAUUGGGAGGAACACCGGUGGCGAAGGCGGCCCCCUGGACCGGUACUGACGCUGAGGCGCGAAAGCGUGGGUAGCAAACGGG